RNAcentral lists this ribosomal RNA (624 nucleotides) under Ovobathysciola gestroi. Its description in RNAcentral is "partial 16S ribosomal RNA". The stretch from base 387 to 545 matches the Rfam family "Bacterial large subunit ribosomal RNA", at positions 2473 to 2632 of the family's 2925-position model. The record is from RNAcentral. Lineage: Eukaryota; Metazoa; Arthropoda; Insecta; Coleoptera; Leiodidae.
GUCUUAUUGAUUAUAAUUUUAAGUCUAAUCUGCCCAAUGAAUUAUUAAAUGGCUGCAGUAUUUUAACUGUACAAAGGUAGCAUAAUAAUUAGUUUCUUAAUUAGGAACUGGAAUGAAUGAUUGAACGAGAUAAUAACUGUCUUAGUUUAAAUUAAAGAAUUUUAUUUUUAAGUGAAAAAGCUUAAAUUUUUUUAAAAGACGAGAAGACCCUAUAGAAUUUUAUAGUAGUUGAAAUAUAGAAAUUUAAGAAUAAGUAAUUUCUAUAUUUAUAAUUUUAUUUAGUUGGGGUGAUUGAAAAAUUUAUUAAACUUUUUUUUAUUAUUUUGUAUAUUGAUUUAUAGUUAUUUGAUCCAAUAUUUUUGAUUAUAAGAUUAAAUUACCUUAGGGAUAACAGCGUAAUUUUUUUAGAGAGUUCUUAUCGAUAAAAGAGAUUGCGACCUCGAUGUUGGAUUAAAGUUAAUUUUUAAUGUAGAAGUUAAAAAAUUAGGUCUGUUCGACCUUUAAAUCUUUACAUGAUCUGAGUUUAAAUCGGCGUGAGCCAGGUUGGAUUCUAUCUUUAAUUAAAUAUAAUAUUUUAGUACGAAAGGACCAAGUAUUAGUUAUAAUAAUUUUUAUUGAAUAUUA